UAUCACCACCCGCCGACUCUCAUAAGCCGUCACAUCCGAGCGAGAACGCAGCAAACAGGUAGUGAUCUCGCAAACGAACCCCGAGCCGCCACAAUGGUCGUCACCUCCCGCAUGCUCGCCGCCCACACCAGUGGUUACCCCGUGGACGUCAGAGCUCGCUUCUGGUCCAACUAUUACAGAUCACUCAAAGAUAUCACCAACGAAGAGAGUCGCCCCCGCGUUUCCGAGUCGUAUCAUCCCCGUGGUGGCAUCACGUCCCAGAGCUCCGGCCCGCUGACGCUCCCCAAGAGUACUUACCCAUUGGUGCUCAACACGAUCUCGCCGUCCGUCCGUCCUUCCUGUCACCUGUGAGGCGGAAAUACGUCUGGACGACGCAUCCGCAGCGACAGGCCUAUUCGCUGAAGAAAUAGAUAAGGUCUCUUGCUGCAAAUGGUGAAAAUAAAUUAUAUAUUAUAACUCAACAUAUUUUUUCAUCCAGAUUGUACUUCAACAUUUUUCCUCAUUACAACUUGUCAUCAUAUGUAAUAUAUGCUGUCUUAAGAAUCUUCUUUCAUGAACCAUUAGAUUUAUGAAAUACAAAUUUCGAAUAUUUUUUAUUUGUGUGGUGAACUUAUUAUAGAGCACUAGAGUAGUUCUGAGAGUAAUCUUCCCUUUAAUGUGUCUAAAGCAACAUGAUUUUGUUAGUCACGAAGUAUGUGGCAGGGGUAAGGUACAUGAAUCAGGCAUGUAAUAUUUUCUUCACCUAAUUUCCGGAAGAGUGGGUUAGCUGAAACAUCUAGAUAUUCGAUCGAACCAAGAAUAUCAUCCCAUCAUUCUUGCUAGUCAUGGUCUGAAUUUGCCUAACACAAUGUUAUGUAGACCAUUUGUUGCAGUCGUGUAAAAACAAAUUGAAAAAUUAUACAUGAAUAAAUCUUAGAUAGCCA
Molecule: unclassified non-coding RNA, 923 nt
Filed under: Penaeus monodon (black tiger shrimp)
Lineage: Eukaryota; Metazoa; Arthropoda; Malacostraca; Decapoda; Penaeidae
Description: uncharacterized LOC119597583, transcript variant X1
Source: RNAcentral